GGAAAAAAAACUAUUUAAAUGUAAAUAAUUGUAUUGUCUAUGUUUGUCUGGACUGUACUCUGUGUACGAAAUUGCUGUUUUAUGACACAUUAUUUUGCUAUGCUUCCUAUUAAAUAAAUGUUACGCUAAUAUAUUUUCAAAGAAAAUUCAUGGUAGUGAAGUUUUCAAAAGUUGGAGUUCUCUUUUCUCUAUCGUUUUUGCACAGACCAAAACGUAAUAUUUUUAACAUAGCUGAGGCUUUAAAUUUGCAGACAGAGCAUAUGGUUUUUGUAUGGAGCUGCAAAUUGUUACUUAUGUCUCUUUUCUGUGUGAGUAACCUGUUAUUAAAUAUCAUAAUCCAUGCUAAAAUCCAAGACUCAAAGGAAUCCUAUGAGACAAUCCUGAUUUUAUUUAUUAUCAUCUACACUAAUAUUCAAGAAGUUGUGUUUCUAGGAAUCAACUUGAGAGAGACUGCUUUAUUGGCUAUAGUCCUUACAUUUUCUAAACAUUUCUGUUCAAAGAAGCUUUUUCACAUUUCGAAUUACUGUCUUUACAUUACUUUUUUGAUAAUUGUUUCAUUAGCAGACUUUCUCAAAUUGUGACACGUUCAGAAAGCCUGUUAAUUAGGGGAAACCCGUCAGUGUGUUACAUUUUAUGCUUUUAUUGCACUUUUUUUUUUAAUAUUACAAGUGUUUUUAUCAACAUUGGACCUUCUUGAUUUUAUCCUGAAGAUUGCUGCAUCAAUUUUGUUAGUGGGGAACAUACCACCCACACCAUGCGGGUUGAGCAAAACCUUUUUUUUUGUACUCUACAAGUGAGUACAUCUCUUUAAUUAUUUCUAUUCAGUGAGCACUAUUGUGAGGGGAUAUAUCUUGAUUCCAAUGUUCAGCGUAAUUAAAGCCUACAUCUGAUGCACUUUAUAUUUAAUGAACCUUUUCUCUGUAAAGUGAUGUAUACGUGUCAGCAUAAGUUGUGCUCUCUGUGUAAACUAGGAGCACUUAUUGGAAACUGUAAAUUGUGUAACUGCUACCUAAUUUUAUCUUGCGACCUUCCUAUCUUAUGAAAUAUGUAACCACAUACUGAUUUGUAAACUAAUUUUACAUCUUAUGAAAUAUGUAACCACAUUAAAUCUCUACAUAAUGCUGCUUCCACCUAUCUAUCCUCCCUAAUACACAAGUAUGUCCCGUCUAGGCCCUUACGCUCUGCUGAAGACUUAUGUCUAUCUUCUGUCCGUACUCCCACCUCUGAUGCUCGCCUUCAAGACUUCUCGAGGGCUGCACCGUUCCUGUGGAACUCACUUCCCUCCUCCGUUAGAUGCUCAACCAGUCUCCACUCCGUCACAAAAUCAUUAAAAACCCACUUCUUCAUAAAAGCGUAUCAAUUAAACUGUUAAUAGCGCCCAACUGAUUCCUCUCUUGCAACUGUCAUUAGUCUAAUACUAUCCUUACCUUUUGUGUCACUUUAACCCACUCCCUCUAGCAUGUAAGAUAAUUGAACAGGGCCCUCAACCCCUCUGUUCCUUUGUGUCCAACUUGUCUGGUUACAACUACGUCUGUUCGUCCACCCACUGUAAAGCACUGCGGAAUUUGUUGGCGCUAUAUACAUAAUAACAUAAUAAUAAUAAUAACAACUAAUUUUAUCUUUUGACUUUCCUAUCUACAUUAUUUAUUUUUAAACCUUCAAGCUAAGCUGUAACAAUAUUGUGUAUAAAU
This 1691-nucleotide long non-coding RNA is filed under the name Pelobates cultripes (western spadefoot toad). The record is from RNAcentral. Lineage: Eukaryota; Metazoa; Chordata; Amphibia; Anura; Pelobatidae.